RNAcentral lists this ribosomal RNA (162 nucleotides) under Crateva formosensis. RNAcentral describes it as "5.8S ribosomal RNA". It matches the Rfam family "5.8S ribosomal RNA". Rfam says of the family: 5.8S ribosomal RNA (5.8S rRNA) is a component of the large subunit of the eukaryotic ribosome. It is transcribed by RNA polymerase I as part of the 45S precursor that also contains 18S and 28S rRNA. The record is from RNAcentral. Lineage: Eukaryota; Viridiplantae; Streptophyta; Magnoliopsida; Brassicales; Capparaceae.
AACGACUCUCGGCAACGGAUAUCUCGGCUCUCGCAUCGAUGAAGAACGUAGCGAAAUGCGAUACUUGGUGUGAAUUGCAGAAUCCCGUGAACCAUCGAAUCUUUGAACGCAAGUUGCGCCCCAAGCCGUCAGGCCGAGGGCACGUCUGCCUGGGUGUCACGC